Molecule: ribosomal RNA, 607 nt
Filed under: Planktothrix pseudagardhii NBU2612
Lineage: Bacteria; Bacillati; Cyanobacteriota; Cyanophyceae; Oscillatoriales; Microcoleaceae
Description: bacterial SSU rRNA
Rfam family: Bacterial small subunit ribosomal RNA
Source: RNAcentral
CGAACGAGGUUUAUUCAUGCCGUUGACUCUCGGGUCAACCGAAUAGACUGCAGUGGCGGACGGGUGCGUAACGCGUAAGAACUUACCUUUUGGUGGGGGAUAACAGUGGGAAACUGCUGCUAAUACCCCAUAAUGCUGAGGAGCUAAAAGUGAAAACUGCCAAGAGAGAGGCUUGCGUCUGAUUAGCUAGUUGGUGGGGGUAAAGGCCUCCCAAGGCGACGAUCAGUAGCUGGUCUGAGAGGAUGAUCAGCCACACUGGGACUGAGACACGGCCCAGACUCCUACGGGAGGCAGCAGUGAGGAAUUUUCCGCAAUGGGCGAAAGCCUGACGGAGCAAUACCGCGUGAAGGAAGAAGGUCCGUGGAUCGUAAACUUCUUUUCUCAAGGAAGAAUCAAUGACGGUACUUGAGGAAUAAGCACCGGCUAACUCUGUGCCAGCAGCCGCGGUAAUACAGAGGGUGCAAGCAUUGUCCGGAAUGAUUGGGCGUAAAGCGUCUGUAGGUGGUUUUUAAAGUCGACUGUCAAAUCCCAGAGCUCAACUUUGGACAGGCAGUCGAGGACUUAGAAGCUAGAGUAUGGUAGGGGUAGAGGGAAUUCCUUGUGGAGC